Molecule: long non-coding RNA, 394 nt
Filed under: Lathyrus oleraceus (garden pea)
Lineage: Eukaryota; Viridiplantae; Streptophyta; Magnoliopsida; Fabales; Fabaceae
Description: Pisum sativum (pea) long non-coding RNA (PSAT_LNC011376)
Source: RNAcentral
UUUUGUAGGAUGUAGGUGUAUUGAGAGUCUGAGUUAGUUGAGAGUAUAUUAUGUGUUGUAACAAUUUUCACAUAAUAUUAUUCUUUGAUUAUCUAUUGACAGCGACCAUGUUUUUUUCUUCGAUUUUAGAGUUCUCGUGAUGUGAUUAUGUUCUUUUUUUUUCCUCUAUACUUAAUUUUUUUUCCUUCCAAAUGUGAUUAAAACCGUCAACAUAAAAGAAGGCGUGUUGCACGUGGCAGUUGGAUUUAAUAAUGCAAUGAUUGACGAAUAUUGUAGGCAAAAUCAUCUACCUUUAGCGGAACAAGGGAUCACCUAAUCCAUUCUCUCUUUUGCUUAAUGUCCUUCUUAUUUUAAUGUCACUCUUGGAUUUUUCAGGAAAGGCUUUGCAAACGAC